GGGUGCUUGAUAUUGUGUACUAGAAUAUAACGCCUAUUCCUUUAGAAAUUUCAUUAAUGGUCCUAGUCCUUGUUCCAUCUCUAGAUGUUUACUAUACUAUUUGCCAUCUUUAUCAGAUCUAACUAUUUUAAUCACCUUUUCUAAUAGUCUUUCUAUCUCAAUUUUGAAUUCCUUAAAGGUCUCAAAAAUAUCAGCUUUAUCAAAUAGAAAAUAUAGAUGCAUAUACCGUGAAUACUCGUUAAUGAAUGUGGGAAAAUAAUUUUUAGCUAUUAGAUAUGGGAAUGUCUACA
This 290-nucleotide long non-coding RNA is filed under the name Elaeis guineensis (African oil palm). RNAcentral describes it as "long non-coding RNA (EGUI_LNC066239)". The record is from RNAcentral. Lineage: Eukaryota; Viridiplantae; Streptophyta; Magnoliopsida; Arecales; Arecaceae.